UGGGGAAUAUUGCACAAUGGGGGAAACCCUGAUGCAGCGACGCCGCGUGAAGGAAGAAGUAUCUCGGUAUGUAAACUUCUAUCAGCAGGGAAGAUAUGACGGUACCUGACUAAGAAGCCCCGGCUAACUACGUGCCAGCAGCCGCGGUAAUACGUAGGGGGCAAGCGUUAUCCGGAUUUACUGGGUGUAAAGGGAGCGUAGACGGCACAGCAAGUCUGAAGUGAAAUCCCCGGGGCUCAACCCGGGAACUGCUUUGGAAACUGUUGGGCUAGAGUGCUGGAGAGGCAAGCGGAAUUCCUAGUGUAGCGGUGAAAUGCGUAGAUAUUUGGAAGAACACCGAUGGCGAAGGCAGCCUCCUGGGAUAAUACUGACGCUCAUGCACGAAAGCGUGGGGAGCAAACAGGAUUAGAUACCC
This 415-nucleotide ribosomal RNA is filed under the name uncultured bacterium. RNAcentral's name for it is "bacterial SSU rRNA". It matches the Rfam family "Bacterial small subunit ribosomal RNA", at positions 355 to 787 of the family's 1533-position model. The record is from RNAcentral.